UCGAAGAGGGGGUAUGAAGUAGUAAAAGAAAACCCAUACAAUCGGUAACUCGUAAUAACUAUAGGGAUCACAUUAAAUGUGACAGAUCGUCUCGAUCCUGACAUAUCAGCUUUAGACGGUAGGGUACAUGCUUGCCGUGGCAAUGACGCGGUAACGUUGUAUUUAGGGUUUGUUUGAAUUUCACCUGCGUGAGAAACGGACACCAGCCCCCAACUGUCCAGCAGGCGCGCAAAUUACCCAAUCGUACCACAGGGAGGGAUAAAAAGAAAUAACAUUACAGGACUUGGAGUAUUUGUAAGCGGAAGCAGUUAAGUAUCAACCCCUUUUCAAGUAUCAAUAAUUUGGCAAAUUUGGAGCCAGCAGCCUCGGUAAUUCCAGCUUCAAUAGAGUAUUUCAAAGAAAUGCAGUUAAAAAGCUUGUACUGGGAUCUAAGUUAAUGAUUUUUAUAAAAAACAAUGAUGAAUAUUUAUAUAGGAGUAACAUAAUUCAUAGUAGUAGGCACCUUAGUAUCCGAACAUUUACUAUGAGAAAAUGGGAGUGCAUAAAGCUCGCAUCAGCCUCGAAUACUCCAGCACGGAAUAAUAUUAAAGAUGUCUUAUACCUCCCUGUGGUUGGUAAGAUAAGAAUGAGGAUUAAUAGGGACCGUUAGGGGCAGUAGCAUUUUACCGGGCUCCCUGUAAGGAUUAGAUCUGUAAUUCCAAGUUAAUGGUCAAGCAUACGCCAAGCCAAUACCCUUCCAUCAAAAACGAAAAGUUCAGAAACAGAAGAUCAGUCACAGUUAAUGUCUCCGUAAAGAAUUGGAAGAAGCAAAUACAACGUAAUG
Molecule: ribosomal RNA, 823 nt
Filed under: Cryptosporidium parvum
Lineage: Eukaryota; Apicomplexa; Conoidasida; Eucoccidiorida; Cryptosporidiidae
Description: SSU rRNA
Rfam family: Eukaryotic small subunit ribosomal RNA
Source: RNAcentral